Molecule: transfer RNA, 77 nt
Filed under: Caulobacteraceae bacterium
Lineage: Bacteria; Pseudomonadati; Pseudomonadota; Alphaproteobacteria; Caulobacterales; Caulobacteraceae
Description: tRNA-Asn
Rfam family: tRNA
About the family: Transfer RNA (tRNA) molecules are approximately 80 nucleotides in length. Their secondary structure includes four short double-helical elements and three loops (D, anti-codon, and T loops). Further hydrogen bonds mediate the characteristic L-shaped molecular structure. tRNAs have two regions of fundamental functional importance: the anti-codon, which is responsible for specific mRNA codon recognition, and the 3' end, to which the tRNAs corresponding amino acid is attached (by aminoacyl-tRNA synthetases). tRNAs cope with the degeneracy of the genetic code in two manners: having more than one tRNA (with a specific anti-codon) for a particular amino acid; and 'wobble' base-pairing, i.e. permitting non-standard base-pairing at the 3rd anti-codon position.
Source: RNAcentral
UGCGCGGUAGCUCAGCUGGUAGUAGCAGAGAGCUGUUAACUCUCGGGUCGCAGGUUCGAGCCCUGCCCGCGCAGCUA